ACGCUGGCGGCAGGCCUAACACAUGCAAGUCGAGCGGUAGAGAGAAGCUUGCUUCUCUUGAGAGCGGCGGACGGGUGAGUAAUGCCUAGGAAUCUGCCUGGUAGUGGGGGAUAACGUUCGGAAACGGACGCUAAUACCGCAUACGUCCUACGGGAGAAAGCAGGGGACCUUCGGGCCUUGCGCUAUCAGAUGAGCCUAGGUCGGAUUAGCUAGUUGGUGAGGUAAUGGCUCACCAAGGCGACGAUCCGUAACUGGUCUGAGAGGAUGAUCAGUCACACUGGAACUGAGACACGGUCCAGACUCCUACGGGAGGCAGCAGUGGGGAAUAUUGGACAAUGGGCGAAAGCCUGAUCCAGCCAUGCCGCGUGUGUGAAGAAGGUCUUCGGAUUGUAAAGCACUUUAAGUUGGGAGGAAGGGUUGUAGAAUAAUACUCUGCAAUUUUGACGUUACCGACAGAAUAAGCACCGGCUAACUCUGUGCCAGCAGCCGCGGUAAUACAGAGGGUGCAAGCGCUAAUCGGAAUUACUGGGCGUAGAGCGCGCGUAGGUGGUUUGUUAAGUUGGAUGUGAAAUCCCCGGGCUCAACCUGGGAACUGCAUUCAAAACUGACUGACUAGAGUAUGGUAGAGGGUGGUGGAAUUUCCUGUGUAGCGGUGAAAUGCGUAGAUAUAGGAAGGAACACCAGUGGCGAAGGCGACCACCUGGACUAAUACUGACACUGAGGUGCGAAAGCGUGGGGAGCAAAC
This 745-nucleotide ribosomal RNA is filed under the name uncultured bacterium. RNAcentral's name for it is "bacterial SSU rRNA". It matches the Rfam family "Bacterial small subunit ribosomal RNA", at positions 33 to 773 of the family's 1533-position model. The record is from RNAcentral.